Molecule: long non-coding RNA, 303 nt
Filed under: Lathyrus oleraceus (garden pea)
Lineage: Eukaryota; Viridiplantae; Streptophyta; Magnoliopsida; Fabales; Fabaceae
Description: Pisum sativum (pea) long non-coding RNA (PSAT_LNC028403)
Source: RNAcentral
GCUGCGUAUUAUGCAACUGUUUUAUUUUGAUAAAUAAAUGAGCAUGACAGGAUAUUUUGAUAAGUGUUGUGAGAUGAAUUGUGUGACACCCUUCGGGGCAUAAUUACUCUGAUUGAUAUGUUAUUAUUUUAAUUAAAUAUUUUGGGGUAUUUAGAAGGGUGUUACAUUAGUGGUAUCAGAGCAUAGUCGGUCGUGUCGAGUCGUAGUUAUUCUGUUUCCCCUGUACGGGAUAGGUGUUGUGUAACCCUAUCAGUACUUAUUUGUUUUAGUUUGUUGGGUUUUCAGAAUAGAGAUGGCUGGAAG